UUACAAUAAGAACUCUAGACACACAAACAAACAAGAACUUCCCUUUUAUUCAGUAUGGAAAAGAACCAAUUGAUUGUGCUUUAUCUGAUCACCUUAUUUAUCUUUUCAAGUGAUAUGGUGACAGGACGAUCGAAGUGUCAGACUACCGAGGAUUGUGAUCCUAAUGAGUGUCAGUGGGGGAUUGCCGUUCAGAGUCCCAUAUGUCGUGAUGGGGAAUGUUUUUGUGUUAGUCCCGGAACAUACUCUGGUGAUCAACAAGGCAGUGAAUUUAAUCACAAAGUUAACUCAUAGGAGUCUUUCUAGUUGUUUAAAGCUAUUGGAGUAUUGUGUAUGUUAAUCUAAUGCCUAAUAUUGACUUAUGUAAAUGUUACUAUGUUUUAAGGAGUAUUACAGUACCAAAUGAUGUUAUCAAUCAAAUUUCUAGUUUUAGUGUUUAUAAAUAAAGACAAAUAGCACAUAUUUAGAUGUAGAGGGAAAUAAAAAACC
Capsicum annuum is the source of this 486-nucleotide long non-coding RNA. RefSeq lists it as uncharacterized. The record is from RefSeq and is a predicted model, not a curated record. Lineage: Eukaryota; Viridiplantae; Streptophyta; Magnoliopsida; Solanales; Solanaceae. The transcript is spliced from 2 exons.